GAUGAACGCUGGCGGCGUGCCUAACACAUGCAAGUCGAACGGAGAUUUAACGCUGAUGAGGCUUCGGCGGAUUCUUGUUAAAUCUUAGUGGCGGACGGGUGAGUAACGCGUGGGCAACCUGCCUCAUACUGGGGGAUAACAGCUGGAAACGACUGUUAAUACCGCAUAAGCGCACAGCACCGCAUGGUGCAGUGUGAAAAACUCCGGUGGUAUGAGAUGGACCCGCGUCUGAUUAGCUAGUUGGCGAGGUAACGGCCCACCAAGGCAACGAUCAGUAGCCGGCCUGAGAGGGUGUACGGCCACAUUGGGACUGAGACACGGCCCAAACUCC
RNAcentral lists this ribosomal RNA (331 nucleotides) under uncultured Butyrivibrio sp. RNAcentral's name for it is "bacterial SSU rRNA". It matches the Rfam family "Bacterial small subunit ribosomal RNA", at positions 28 to 339 of the family's 1533-position model. Lineage: Bacteria; Bacillati; Bacillota; Clostridia; Lachnospirales; Lachnospiraceae. The record is from RNAcentral.